UUUAGAACGUCGUGAUCGUGAGACAGUUCGGUCCCUAUCUGCCGUGGGCGCUGGAGAACUGAGGGGGGCUGCUCCUAGUACGAGAGGACCGGAGUGGACGCAUCACUGGUGUUCGGGUUGUCAUGCCAAUGGCACUGCCCGGUAGCUAAAUGCGGAAGAGAUAAGUGCUGAAAGCAUCUAAGCACGAAACUUGCCCCGAGAUGAGUUCUCCCUGAGACUUUAAGUCUCCUGAAGGAACGUUGAAGACGACGACGUUGAUAGGCCGGGUGUGUAAGCGCAGCGAUGCGUUGAGCUAACCGGUACUAAUGAACCGUGAGGCUUAACCUUACAACGCCGAAG
RNAcentral lists this ribosomal RNA (339 nucleotides) under Salmonella enterica subsp. enterica serovar Infantis. RNAcentral describes it as "partial 23S ribosomal RNA". It matches the Rfam family "Bacterial large subunit ribosomal RNA", at positions 2610 to 2925 of the family's 2925-position model. The record is from RNAcentral. Lineage: Bacteria; Pseudomonadati; Pseudomonadota; Gammaproteobacteria; Enterobacterales; Enterobacteriaceae.